UACGGAGGGUGCAAGCAUUAAUCGGAAUUAUUGGGCGUAAAGGGCGCGUAGGCGGCCUCUGCAAGUCAGUUGUGAAAUCUCCGGGCUUAACCCGGAAAGGUCAACUGAUACUGCAGGGCUAGAGUGCAGAAGGGGCAACUGGAAUUCUCGGUGUAGCGGUGAAAUGCGUAGAUAUCGAGAGGAACACCUGCGGCGAAGGCGGGUUGCUGGGCUGACACUGACGCUGAAGCGCGAAAGCUAGGGGAGCGAACGGG
This 254-nucleotide ribosomal RNA is filed under the name uncultured prokaryote. Its description in RNAcentral is "partial 16S ribosomal RNA". It matches the Rfam family "Bacterial small subunit ribosomal RNA", at positions 524 to 776 of the family's 1533-position model. The record is from RNAcentral.